GCCAGCGUGGUGUAGUGGUUUGAGCAUUGGACUAUGACUCUGGAGGCUAGGGUUUGAAUCCCUGCUUGGCC
This is a non-coding RNA of Phrynosoma platyrhinos (Desert horned lizard), 71 nucleotides long. The record is from the annotation of a GenBank genome assembly. NCBI's taxonomy places the organism in Eukaryota, Metazoa, Chordata, Lepidosauria, Squamata, Phrynosomatidae.